UACAAUGAUCAAGAUGCUUUUAAC
This 24-nucleotide non-coding RNA is filed under the name Arabidopsis thaliana (thale cress). Lineage: Eukaryota; Viridiplantae; Streptophyta; Magnoliopsida; Brassicales; Brassicaceae. The record is from RNAcentral.